Peromyscus eremicus (cactus mouse) is the source of this 236-nucleotide long non-coding RNA. RefSeq lists it as uncharacterized. The record is from RefSeq and is a predicted model, not a curated record. The transcript is spliced from 2 exons. NCBI's taxonomy places the organism in Eukaryota, Metazoa, Chordata, Mammalia, Rodentia, Cricetidae.
CUCUCCCUUAUCGCUAUGUUACACUUCAAUCUGAAAUGGUGCUUGAAACAUCAUGAGUUUAAACAGUUUCCUCAGCUGGAAGCUGUUUUGGGAGUUGUGAAACCUUAAAGAGGUAACACCAUGUAACCAGCGGCCGCUGCCUCUACCCAUCAAUAUGGACAAGUCUCUAGCCAUUAUAUUUUACUCAUGAUGAUGGGCCAUACAAGUCUGAAAUGAAAUAAAUUCAUUCUCCCUCA